This is a small nucleolar RNA of Suricata suricatta (meerkat), 149 nucleotides long. The record is from Ensembl. NCBI's taxonomy places the organism in Eukaryota, Metazoa, Chordata, Mammalia, Carnivora, Herpestidae.
CCUUCACAUUGGCAGAGCUUGGAUUUGAGGCUGCUGACAGCCGCUGCACUCACAAGUGUAGGUGGUGUCCUAGAGAGGGCAGAUCUUCCACUGACCCCGUAAGGGUCUCUGGCCCAAUAAGUAGUUUGACAGUAAUUCUUGCUACAAGU